Molecule: long non-coding RNA, 1178 nt
Filed under: Takifugu rubripes (torafugu)
Lineage: Eukaryota; Metazoa; Chordata; Actinopteri; Tetraodontiformes; Tetraodontidae
Description: lncRNA (ENSTRUG00000028969.1)
Source: RNAcentral
GAAAAAUGAACGUGCUGUAACUGAGGGGAGCAGCCCUUUAGUUACCCUUUGGACGCUGCUCAGACUAUACACAGUAUAGUCACACUAUUCAUUCUGACUAUAUACAGUAAUAUCUCUGCAAGAUCGCAGAUGUGUUUCAGCGAUGCCCACAGAGCUGUUAUGUCUGUGGAAUCUAUGAAGAUUGUUGAGUUUCCAAUCUGGCCCCUUUCUCUUGUUGUUGUAGAAUGUGGCAAGAACCCCAAAGGGCAAAGUACAGUAGACACCUUUUCAUAAUUAGCUUCACUAAAAGCGAUUUUCACACAUUCAAGCACAUCUGUUUCUGUGAAUUUGAUCUAUUUUUCUUUCCUGCACCUUGUCCAGGUUGAGCGUUGGACCUCCUGCAGAAAAGGCACAUCAUAAAAAUGGGACAAAAUCAAACCCUGUCUGACCCUUAGUUUGUCUAUAAUAUGUUACCAUUUCACACAAGAUCUCAGAUGUUCUUGGAUUCUUGGAUCUUGCAGUCAGAAGUGCACCGUUCAUCACCACCACGGCUGCCUUCACUCCCCAGGUUGUCAUCUUCUUUCCUCCUUACUUGGUUCCCACAGACAUCAUCACUGUCGCCUACUGAUGUUUAACCACUCUACCUGACACCAUUUUAUCUCUGGAUCUGAUGUUUAUGUCUUAGAUUUAUGAGAAACAAUGAUAUGAUAUCACCUGAUAAUUUCUUUGGAGGCAUGACAGACAGCUUUGCAAUAAAAGGUAACGAUAAUGGGCAUCAUUAACUUGGAUAUAAUUCAUUAUAUAUGUUUAGAAUAUCAGUUAUGCUCCUAAUCUCAAGUCUGUGCCACCAAUUGGACUGAAAAAUAUAACACUGUUCAUGUUGUUCUGCAGUGACACUUUAAUAUCAGUUAAAGAUUGUAUCUGAUUCAUGAUCCAGCUUAGGCACUUUUAAAAUGGGCUUUAAAGAAAUGUCUGUGUAAAUUCUCAGUCAUCCAGGUCAUUGUAUCCAAGGUAGUUUUCUCUGUCAACUGGACUGGGUUUCUUCUCUUGAAGACGUUUCGCCUUCUAUCCAGAAGGCUUCUUCAGUUCUGAAAUCGCUGGGGAGAGAGCUUGAAAAUAUAUAGCCCCUGUGGACCAUUUGCAUGCUAAUGAUCUGGGUGGUCACCUGAGAGUCGUUAGCAGGGUCGUUGGUCGGGUCG